Molecule: ribosomal RNA, 253 nt
Filed under: uncultured bacterium
Lineage: Bacteria
Description: partial 16S ribosomal RNA
Rfam family: Bacterial small subunit ribosomal RNA
Source: RNAcentral
UACGAAGGGGGCUAGCGUUGUUCGGAAUUACUGGGCGUAAAGCGUGCGCAGGCGGCUUCUCAAGUCAGGGGUGAAAGCCCAGAGCUCAACUCUGGAAUUGCCUUUGAGACUGAGUGGCUUGAGUACGAGAGAGGUGAGUGGAAUUCCCAGUGUAGAGGUGAAAUUCGUAGAUAUUGGGAAGAACACCGGUGGCGAAGGCGGCUCACUGGCGCAUAUCUGACGCUCAGGCGCGACAGCGUGGGGAUCAAACAGG